GAAAAUAUCAGCAAACCCACAAUAAGAAUGUAAACCUCAGAAUAUACAUGCAGAGCAUGACCAGGACUGAGAAGAUUACUCUAUGUGCAUGCCACCCCGAUCAGAAGAUGGUAAUGUGCUUCCUUGAAGAGCAUUCAGCACUUCAGUUGCUUGGUCAAUUCCCUAAAAGGUAAAAUAUAUAAAUACAUAAUUGUAGAGGCGAAUUCAGAAUUCCAAGAAAAUGAGUACUCUAUUACAAAGAGGUGAAUCUGAAAUUUAUAUUUGACGGAUCCAACCGUUAGGUUCUUACCAUAAUUCCAAUACCAUUUAGAAUUUAUAUGAUAAAAUUAACUUUUUUCUUGCAAUUUUAGUGGGUUUUAACGUAUAUACUUAAUACUCCAGACCAAAAAUGUUGGAAUCAUUAAACCAUGCUGCAUCAUCCUCUGUUAUUAGUUUUAAUUAUAUUAAAUUUUGAGAUGAUAAAGGGAGAUCAAGGAUAUCAAUGUGUUGGAUUUUGGGAUUUUGAAGGGAUAAACCAAAUAAAACAAGAAAGAAAGAAAAAAAAUACUAAAUUAAAACACAAGAGGGGACACUAGACAUGCUUAGGUUCCUACCAAUUAAGAUCUGAACCUCUAACUUUACUUGUAAAGGAGCACCCGACAAUCAUAAAACUCUUUGAGCUUGGGUGCACACAUGUACAUUUAAGAAAUUUUUAAGAAACAUUAUACAUAGUAUAGAGAGAAGAGCAUGGGUCCAUGUGCCCCAUGCUUCAACACAUUGAUAUGCCCUCCAUAAUGUUGGGAACAUGGUUAUGGUAAAAACCCUUUGCGGUUAGUAACGUAUGUAGAGGGAACUCUGAUUUUUUUCCCAAAUUACUGCGGUAAAGAUUUAGAAUGAUUGAAAAUUCCAAAUACAUGAGCAUGUCUCUGAGAAAUUCGAAAUGCGACAGCUGAAAAUAAGCUUCUUAUUUAGGUAAAUUAGUUUCACUUUUAAGUCUCUGACCUGAGAGAAAUUUACAGUUUUGCUGUAGCCACACUAAGAAGCUGCGAGGAGUACCUGAAAAUCAGCAAAAGCAACAGGCAUCCCGCCUCUUGCACGCACCUUGAGGGUGUUAAAUCCAGGAUACCUGACAGGAAAGCAACAUGUACUGUCAAUUAUAGGUAGCCUUCCGCAAGUUACUUCAAGAGAUGGUACGUAUGAGAGAGAAAUAUGUCUCAAGUAUAAUAUUGCCAUUCUGCAGCUAGGUACAGAGAACCAACUUUUUAGCCAUAUGAACACUGAGUUGUGAAGAAAGAACUGAAAGAGAACACCCUCCAUUGCAGGAGUUAUACAGGAACUUACUUAGAAAUAACUUGCUUCAGUUCAUCCUCAGUGCAAUUUGGACCAAGAUUGGCG
This 1374-nucleotide long non-coding RNA is filed under the name Nicotiana benthamiana. RNAcentral describes it as "long non-coding RNA (NBEN_LNC025041)". The record is from RNAcentral. Lineage: Eukaryota; Viridiplantae; Streptophyta; Magnoliopsida; Solanales; Solanaceae.